GAUGAACGCUGGCGGCGUGCCUAAUACAUGCAAGUCGAGCGAACAGAUAAGGAGCUUGCUCCUUUGACGUUAGCGGCGGACGGGUGAGUAACACGUGGAUAACCUACCUAUAAGACUGGGAUAACUUCGGGAAACCGGAGCUAAUACCGGAUAACAUAUUGAACCGCAUGGUUCAAUAGUGAAAGGCGGCUUUGCUGUCACUUAUAGAUGGAUCCGCGCCGUAUUAGCUAGUUGGUAAGGUAACGGCUUACCAAGGCAACGAUACGUAGCCGACCUGAGAGGGUGAUCGGCCACACUGGAACUGAGACACGGUCCAGACUCCUACGGGAGGCAGCAGUAGGGAAUCUUCCGCAAUGGGCGAAAGCCUGACGGAGCAACGCCGCGUGAGUGAUGAAGGUCUUCGGAUCGUAAAACUCUGUUAUCAGGGAAGAACAAAUGUGUAAUUAACUGUGCACAUCUUGACGGUACCUGAUCAGAAAGCCACGGCUAACUACGUG
RNAcentral lists this ribosomal RNA (497 nucleotides) under uncultured bacterium. RNAcentral describes it as "partial 16S ribosomal RNA". It matches the Rfam family "Bacterial small subunit ribosomal RNA", at positions 28 to 507 of the family's 1533-position model. The record is from RNAcentral.